This 1587-nucleotide ribosomal RNA is filed under the name Centropus sinensis (greater coucal). RNAcentral's name for it is "16S ribosomal RNA". It matches the Rfam family "Bacterial large subunit ribosomal RNA". Lineage: Eukaryota; Metazoa; Chordata; Aves; Cuculiformes; Centropidae. The record is from RNAcentral.
AGCCUACCCUAGCCCAACCACCACAUACCCAAUAUAAUCAACAAUUCACUCUACUACAGAACUAAAACAUUCUACCAACUUAGUAUAGGCGAUAGAAAAGAAUGCUUUGGAGCUAUAGAUACAGUACCGUAAGGGAAUGAUGAAAUAAUAAUGAAAACACAACUGCCAAAUAGCAAAGAUGAACUCUUGUACCUUUUGCAUCAUGAUUUAGCAAGACUAACCAAGCAAAACGAAUUUUAGUUUGCCUCCCCGAAACCCAAGCGAGCUACUUACAAGCAGCUAUCUAUGAGCACACCCGUCUCUGUCGCAAAGAGUGGGACGACUUGUCAGUAGAAGUGAAAGCCUAUCGAGCUGGGUGAUAGCUGGUUGCCUGUGAAAUGAAUAUAAGUUCCCCCUUGAUUUACCUUCCCCUAGACACUCACCUACCUAUUAUGCGAAAAUCAAGGGCAAUUUAAAGGGGGUACAGCCCCUUUAAAAAGGAUACAACCUCCUCAAGUGGAUAAGUCAAAUUUAAUUCCUACCCACCAAACUGUAGGCCCUCAAGCAGCCAUCAAUAAAGAGUGCGUCAAAGCUCCACAACUAAAAAUCCUAAGACACUUCGACUCCCUCAUCUACAACAGGCCAAUCUAUCCUUAUAGAAGAAUUAAUGCUAAAAUAAGUAACCUGGUCUCACCCUCUAAAGCGCAAGCUUACAUGCCCACAUUAUUAACAACAUAAUCAGUACCCCAAUACAAACAAGACUAUGUACUAAAACCCCUGUUAACCCAACUCAGGAGCGCCUAAUAGAAAGAUUAAAACCUGUAAAAGGAACUAGGCAAAUCAGAGGCCCGACUGUUUACCAAAAACAUAGCCUUUAGCUAACCAAGUAUUAAAGGUGACGCCUGCCCAGUGACAUACGUUCAACGGCCGCGGUAUCCUAACCGUGCGAAGGUAGCGCAAUCAAUUGUCUCAUAAAUCGAGACCUGUAUGAAUGGCUAAACGAGGUCUCAACUGUCUCUUACAGGUAAUCGGUGAAAUUGAUCUUCCCGUGCAAAAGCAGGAAUAAAAUCAUAAGACGAGAAGACCCUGUGGAACUUUAAAAUAAAAGGCCAACUUCCACCAACCCAAACCUGACAGGCCCACUAUCAUAAACCAUGACCUAUAUUUUUUGGUUGGGGCGACCUUGGAGAAAAACAAACCCUCCAAAAAUAAGAUCACACAUCUUUACCAAGAAUAACACUUCAACGUACUAACAGUAACCAGACCCAGUACAACUGAUUAAUGAACCAAGCUACCCCAGGGAUAACAGCGCAAUCUCCUUCAAGAGCCCCUAUCGACAAGGAGGUUUACGACCUCGAUGUUGGAUCAGGACAUCCUAAUGGUGUAGCCGCUAUUAAGGGUUCGUUUGUUCAACGAUUAACAGUCCUACGUGAUCUGAGUUCAGACCGGAGUAAUCCAGGUCGGUUUCUAUCUAUGAUAAAUUUUCCCUAGUACGAAAGGACCGGAAAAAUGAGGCCAAUACUACAAAGCACGCCUUCCCUAAAGUAAUGAACUCAACUAAAUUACUACCAGGUCAUACUCCACUAACCUAUAUCCUAGAAAAGGAUA